AUCACCUAGGGAUCUUGUUAAGAGGCAGAUCUGAUUCAAGAGGUCCAGGGUGGGGCCUGAGAUUCUGCAUUUCCAACAAGCUCCCAGGCGAUGCUGG
Molecule: microRNA precursor, 97 nt
Filed under: Equus caballus (horse)
Lineage: Eukaryota; Metazoa; Chordata; Mammalia; Perissodactyla; Equidae
Description: mir-544 microRNA precursor family
Rfam family: mir-544 microRNA precursor family
Source: Rfam by way of RNAcentral